Molecule: transfer RNA, 72 nt
Filed under: Ovis aries (sheep)
Lineage: Eukaryota; Metazoa; Chordata; Mammalia; Artiodactyla; Bovidae
Rfam family: tRNA
About the family: Transfer RNA (tRNA) molecules are approximately 80 nucleotides in length. Their secondary structure includes four short double-helical elements and three loops (D, anti-codon, and T loops). Further hydrogen bonds mediate the characteristic L-shaped molecular structure. tRNAs have two regions of fundamental functional importance: the anti-codon, which is responsible for specific mRNA codon recognition, and the 3' end, to which the tRNAs corresponding amino acid is attached (by aminoacyl-tRNA synthetases). tRNAs cope with the degeneracy of the genetic code in two manners: having more than one tRNA (with a specific anti-codon) for a particular amino acid; and 'wobble' base-pairing, i.e. permitting non-standard base-pairing at the 3rd anti-codon position.
Source: Rfam by way of RNAcentral
CCCCUGGUGGCUCAGACGGUAAAGCGUCUGCCUACAAUGCGGGAGACCCGGGUUCAAUCCCUGGGUUGGGAA